Triplophysa rosa is the source of this 935-nucleotide non-coding RNA. The record is from the annotation of a RefSeq genome assembly. Lineage: Eukaryota; Metazoa; Chordata; Actinopteri; Cypriniformes; Nemacheilidae.
AACAGAACACAAUGUCUCUUAUUCUGAUAAUGGGAACACUGGGUCUGCUUGCUCAAGUUUCUCAUCAGGAGGUCCAGUCUCCUGAAUUUCUGUCAGUUAAAGAAUCAGAAUCUGCCUCUAUUAGCUGUACUGGGACCAGUGGAGUUGAUGAUGACAUGAGCUGGUAUCUGCAGAAACCUGAAGAAGCUCCUAAACUCCUGAUCUACAAAGCAAAUCGACGUGCAUCUGGAAUCUCAGAUCGGUUCAGUGGAAGUCAAUCUGGACUCCUUUUCACACUGACCAUACGUGAAGCCAAACCUGAAGAUGCAGGAGAUUAUUACUGUAUGGGGGUUUAUAGUGACAGGUGCACACAGUGAAAUUCUGUCAUACAAAAACCUCCCUUAGUCAGAAAGCAAAGAGAGAAGCUCACCACCAUAUCAGUCUGUUGAGACAGAUCACCUGUUUGUCUUGUGGAUAUCCACUUGAUAUUUUGUUAUAAAAUUAUUGUAACAACAUAUUGUAGAUGUUAGCAAUAAUUAUUGUACUCAUUUUAAGAAAAUUUACAGCAAUUUCUUCACCUCUUUGACUAUUUUAAAUGCAGUGGGGAGGACAUAUAUAUUAUAUAAUAAUUAUGAUUUAUUAUUAUUAUAGCUACUGCAUAUACUGUAUUAGCUAAAAAAACAAGGACGUGUUGUCAAGGUUUUGAUGGUUCCUUAUGUAUAUUAUACAGCAAAAUCUUUUGGUUGGUUGAGAUCUUUUGUGAGGUCUUGGAGACCUGUCAUGUUUAACCCAGACAGAAAACAGCGUAAAAUAAUAUAUCUGAACAUCUUACUACAAUUUAGGGGGAAUGUGCUUCUCGCAACUAAAAUGUUAUAAUUAUAAAAAUGUAUCAGGUCUUUAAAACAUUGUUCAAAGUUUCUGACAGAUUAUGAAAAUACAGUAAAAAAUAAACACUA